This 2902-nucleotide ribosomal RNA is filed under the name Escherichia coli. Its description in RNAcentral is "bacterial LSU rRNA". It matches the Rfam family "Bacterial large subunit ribosomal RNA". The record is from RNAcentral. RNAcentral also lists the same sequence under 2 other names. Lineage: Bacteria; Pseudomonadati; Pseudomonadota; Gammaproteobacteria; Enterobacterales; Enterobacteriaceae.
UUAAGCGACUAAGCGUACACGGUGGAUGCCCUGGCAGUCAGAGGCGAUGAAGGACGUGCUAAUCUGCGAUAAGCGUCGGUAAGGUGAUAUGAACCGUUAUAACCGGCGAUUUCCGAAUGGGGAAACCCAGUGUGAUUCGUCACACUAUCAUUAACUGAAUCCAUAGGUUAAUGAGGCGAACCGGGGGAACUGAAACAUCUAAGUACCCCGAGGAAAAGAAAUCAACCGAGAUUCCCCCAGUAGCGGCGAGCGAACGGGGAGGAGCCCAGAGCCUGAAUCAGUGUGUGUGUUAGUGGAAGCGUCUGGAAAGGCGCGCGAUACAGGGUGACAGCCCCGUACACAAAAAUGCACAUGCUGUGAGCUCGAUGAGUAGGGCGGGACACGUGGUAUCCUGUCUGAAUAUGGGGGGACCAUCCUCCAAGGCUAAAUACUCCUGACUGACCGAUAGUGAACCAGUACCGUGAGGGAAAGGCGAAAAGAACCCCGGCGAGGGGAGUGAAAAAGAACCUGAAACCGUGUACGUACAAGCAGUGGGAGCACGCUUAGGCGUGUGACUGCGUACCUUUUGUAUAAUGGGUCAGCGACUUAUAUUCUGUAGCAAGGUUAACCGAAUAGGGGAGCCGAAGGGAAACCGAGUCUUAACUGGGCGUUAAGUUGCAGGGUAUAGACCCGAAACCCGGUGAUCUAGCCAUGGGCAGGUUGAAGGUUGGGUAACACUAACUGGAGGACCGAACCGACUAAUGUUGAAAAAUUAGCGGAUGACUUGUGGCUGGGGGUGAAAGGCCAAUCAAACCGGGAGAUAGCUGGUUCUCCCCGAAAGCUAUUUAGGUAGCGCCUCGUGAAUUCAUCUCCGGGGGUAGAGCACUGUUUCGGCAAGGGGGUCAUCCCGACUUACCAACCCGAUGCAAACUGCGAAUACCGGAGAAUGUUAUCACGGGAGACACACGGCGGGUGCUAACGUCCGUCGUGAAGAGGGAAACAACCCAGACCGCCAGCUAAGGUCCCAAAGUCAUGGUUAAGUGGGAAACGAUGUGGGAAGGCCCAGACAGCCAGGAUGUUGGCUUAGAAGCAGCCAUCAUUUAAAGAAAGCGUAAUAGCUCACUGGUCGAGUCGGCCUGCGCGGAAGAUGUAACGGGGCUAAACCAUGCACCGAAGCUGCGGCAGCGACGCUGAUGCGUUGUUGGGUAGGGGAGCGUUCUGUAAGCCUGUGAAGGUGUGCUGUGAGGCAUGCUGGAGGUAUCAGAAGUGCGAAUGCUGACAUAAGUAACGAUAAAGCGGGUGAAAAGCCCGCUCGCCGGAAGACCAAGGGUUCCUGUCCAACGUUAAUCGGGGCAGGGUGAGUCGACCCCUAAGGCGAGGCCGAAAGGCGUAGUCGAUGGGAAACAGGUUAAUAUUCCUGUACUUGGUGUUACUGCGAAGGGGGGACGGAGAAGGCUAUGUUGGCCGGGCGACGGUUGUCCCGGUUUAAGCGUGUAGGCUGGUUUUCCAGGCAAAUCCGGAAAACUAAGGCUGAGGCGUGAUGACGAGGCACUACGGUGCUGAAGCAACAAAUGCCCUGCUUCCAGGAAAAGCCUCUAAGCAUCAGGUAACAUCAAAUCGUACCCCAAACCGACACAGGUGGUCAGGUAGAGAAUACCAAGGCGCUUGAGAGAACUCGGGUGAAGGAACUAGGCAAAAUGGUGCCGUAACUUCGGGAGAAGGCACGCUGAUAUGUAGGUGAAGUCCCUCGCGGAUGGAGCUGAAAUCAGUCGAAGAUACCAGCUGGCUGCAACUGUUUAUUAAAAACACAGCACUGUGCAAACACGAAAGUGGACGUAUACGGUGUGACGCCUGCCCGGUGCCGGAAGGUUAAUUGAUGGGGUCAGCGCAAGCGAAGCUCUUGAUCGAAGCCCCGGUAAACGGCGGCCGUAACUAUAACGGUCCUAAGGUAGCGAAAUUCCUUGUCGGGUAAGUUCCGACCUGCACGAAUGGCGUAAUGAUGGCCAGGCUGUCUCCACCCGAGACUCAGUGAAAUUGAACUCGCUGUGAAGAUGCAGUGUACCCGCGGCAAGACGGAAAGACCCCGUGAACCUUUACUAUAGCUUGACACUGAACAUUGAGCCUUGAUGUGUAGGAUAGGUGGGAGGCUUUGAAGUGUGGACGCCAGUCUGCAUGGAGCCGACCUUGAAAUACCACCCUUUAAUGUUUGAUGUUCUAACGUUGACCCGUAAUCCGGGUUGCGGACAGUGUCUGGUGGGUAGUUUGACUGGGGCGGUCUCCUCCUAAAGAGUAACGGAGGAGCACGAAGGUUGGCUAAUCCUGGUCGGACAUCAGGAGGUUAGUGCAAUGGCAUAAGCCAGCUUGACUGCGAGCGUGACGGCGCGAGCAGGUGCGAAAGCAGGUCAUAGUGAUCCGGUGGUUCUGAAUGGAAGGGCCAUCGCUCAACGGAUAAAAGGUACUCCGGGGAUAACAGGCUGAUACCGCCCAAGAGUUCAUAUCGACGGCGGUGUUUGGCACCUCGAUGUCGGCUCAUCACAUCCUGGGGCUGAAGUAGGUCCCAAGGGUAUGGCUGUUCGCCAUUUAAAGUGGUACGCGAGCUGGGUUUAGAACGUCGUGAGACAGUUCGGUCCCUAUCUGCCGUGGGCGCUGGAGAACUGAGGGGGGCUGCUCCUAGUACGAGAGGACCGGAGUGGACGCAUCACUGGUGUUCGGGUUGUCAUGCCAAUGGCACUGCCCGGUAGCUAAAUGCGGAAGAGAUAAGUGCUGAAAGCAUCUAAGCACGAAACUUGCCCCGAGAUGAGUUCUCCCUGACUCCUUGAGAGUCCUGAAGGAACGUUGAAGACGACGACGUUGAUAGGCCGGGUGUGUAAGCGCAGCGAUGCGUUGAGCUAACCGGUACUAAUGAACCGUGAGGCUUAACCUU